AACGAACGCUGGCGGCAUGCCUAACACAUGCAAGUCGAACGAGACCUUCGGGUCUAGUGGCGCAUGGGUUCGUAACGCGUGGGAACCUGCCCUUAUGUUUGGAAUAACUCUCCGACAGGGGUGCUAAUACCGGAUAAUGUCUUCGGACCAAAGAUUUAUUGCCCUUGGUUGGGCCCGCGUUGGAUUCGCUAGUUGUUAGGGUAAGAGCCUACCAAGGCGUGGAUGCAUAGCUGGGAUGAGAGGAAGGUCAGCCACACUGAGACUGAGACGCGGCCCGGACUCCUACGGGAGGCGGGAGUGGGGAAUAGUGCAACGUGGGCGAAAGGAUGAUGCAGCAAGGACGGGAGAGUGAUGAAGGCAUUAGGGUAGUAAAGCUCUUUUAACCGGGAUGAUAAUGACGGUACCGGGAGAAUAAGCCACGGCUAACUCCGUG
Molecule: ribosomal RNA, 433 nt
Filed under: uncultured bacterium
Lineage: Bacteria
Description: partial 16S ribosomal RNA
Rfam family: Bacterial small subunit ribosomal RNA
Source: RNAcentral